UACGUAGGGGGCGAGCGUUGUCCGGAUUUAUUGGGCGUAAAGGGCUCGUAGGCGGACCGGUAAGUCUGGCGUGAAAUCUCCACCGCUCAACGGGGAGAGGUCGCUGGAUACUGCCGGUCUGGAGUGCGGCAGAGGACCAUGGAAUUCCAGGUGUAGCGGUGGAAUGCGUAGAUAUCAGGAGGAACACCGGUGGCGAAGGCGGGUCUCUGGGCCAUUACUGACGCUGAGGAGCGAAAGCGUGGGGAGCAAACAGG
RNAcentral lists this ribosomal RNA (254 nucleotides) under uncultured bacterium. RNAcentral describes it as "partial 16S ribosomal RNA". It matches the Rfam family "Bacterial small subunit ribosomal RNA", at positions 524 to 776 of the family's 1533-position model. The record is from RNAcentral.